AUGCCUUUGAAUUUUGAAAAAAUGUUUAGAUUCUUCGUUGCUCGUGGUUCUUAUGUUUCCACGUUGCAUAUUAGACACACUCAAGCUCAUCAACUUUAGUGGCUCAUCUAAAAAAACUUCCAAUGGAUAGUCACUCACGUUCAUUGUGAGGAGGUCCCAUGUUCAAUCCCUGACACGUGCAUACUUUUCCGGGAAUAUGUCAUUCGUUUACUUGUUUGAGUAGUUGUAGUAGUUCUCAAGGGUAUGGAUGAAUUGUAC
Molecule: long non-coding RNA, 258 nt
Filed under: Hordeum vulgare
Lineage: Eukaryota; Viridiplantae; Streptophyta; Magnoliopsida; Poales; Poaceae
Description: long non-coding RNA (HVUL_LNC003768)
Source: RNAcentral